UGGCCCGUUUUGGCACUAGCACAUUUUUGCUUUGGUCUCUCUGCGUUGAGCAAUUAUGUGUAGUGCCAAUAUGGGAGG
This 78-nucleotide microRNA precursor is filed under the name Tinamus guttatus (white-throated tinamou). RNAcentral describes it as "mir-96 microRNA precursor family". It matches the Rfam family "mir-96 microRNA precursor family". Lineage: Eukaryota; Metazoa; Chordata; Aves; Tinamiformes; Tinamidae. The record is from Rfam by way of RNAcentral.